UACGUAGGGUGCGAGCGUUGUCCGGAAUUAUUGGGCGUAAAGGGCUCGUAGGCGGUCUGUCACGUCGGGAGUGAAAACACGGGGCUUAACCCCGUGCCUGCUUCCGAUACGGGCAGACUAGAGGUAUGCAGGGGAGAACGGAAUUCCUGGUGUAGCGGUGAAAUGCGCAGAUAUCAGGAGGAACACCGGUGGCGAAGGCGGUUCUCUGGGCAUUACCUGACGCUGAGGAGCGAAAGUGUGGGGAGCGAGCAGG
Molecule: ribosomal RNA, 253 nt
Filed under: uncultured bacterium
Lineage: Bacteria
Description: partial 16S ribosomal RNA
Rfam family: Bacterial small subunit ribosomal RNA
Source: RNAcentral